ACGGAAGGCAGCAGUGGGGAAUAUUGCACAAUGGGGGAAACCCUGAUGCAGCAACGCCGCGUGAAGGAAGACGGUCUUCGGAUUGUAAACUUUUGUUUUUAGUGAAGAUAAUGACGGUAGCUAAGGAGAAAGCCACGGCUAACUACGUGCCAGCAGCCGCGGUAAUACGUAGGUGGCAAGCGUUGUCCGGAAUUACUGGGUGUAAAGGGAGCGCAGGCGGGAAAUCAAGUUGGAUGUGAAAUGUCGGGGCUUAACCCCGGAACUGCAUCCAAAACUGACUUUCUUGAGUGAAGUAGAGGUAGGCGGAAUUCCGAGUGUAGCGGUGAAAUGCGUAGAUAUUCGGAGGAACACCAGUGGCGAAGGCGGCCUACUGGGCUUUAACUGACGCUGAGGCUCGAAAGUGUGGGGAGCAAACAGGAUUAGAUACCCUGGUA
RNAcentral lists this ribosomal RNA (434 nucleotides) under uncultured bacterium. Its description in RNAcentral is "partial 16S ribosomal RNA". It matches the Rfam family "Bacterial small subunit ribosomal RNA", at positions 341 to 792 of the family's 1533-position model. The record is from RNAcentral.